AGAGUUUGAUCAUGGCUCAGAUUGAACGCUGGCGGCAGGCUUAACACAUGCAAGUCGAGCGGGGAAGAGUAGCUUGCUACUUUACCUAGCGGCGGACGGGUGAGUAAUGCUUAGGAAUCUGCCUAUUAGUGGGGGACAACAUCUCGAAAGGGAUGCUAAUACCGCAUACGUCCUACGGGAGAAAGCAGGGGACCUUCGGGCCUUGCGCUAAUAGAUGAGCCUAAGUCGGAUUAGCUAGUUGGUGGGGUAAAGGCCUACCAAGGCGACGAUCUGUAGCGGGUCUGAGAGGAUGAUCCGCCACACUGGGACUGAGACACGGCCCAGACUCCUACGGGAGGCAGCAGUGGGGAAUAUUGGACAAUGGGGGGAACCCUGAUCCAGCCAUGCCGCGUGUGUGAAGAGGGCCUUUUGGUUGUAAAGCACUUUAAGCGAGGAGGAGGCUACCGAGAUUAAUACUCUUGGAUAGUGGACGUUACUCGCAGAAUAAGCACCGGCUAACUCUGUGCCAGCAGCCGCGGUAAUACAGAGGGUGCAAGCGUUAAUCGGAUUUACUGGGCGUAAAGCGCGCGUAGGUGGCCAAUUAAGUCAAAUGUGAAAUCCCCGAGCUUAACUUGGGAAUUGCAUUCGAUACUGGUUGGCUAGAGUAUGGGAGAGGAUGGUAGAAUUCCAGGUGUAGCAGUGAAAUGCGUAGAGAUCUGGAGGAAUACCGAUGGCGAAGGCAGCCAUCUGGCCUAAUACUGACACUGAGGUGCGAAAGCAUGGGGAGCAAACAGGAUUAGAUACCCUGGUAGUCC
This 794-nucleotide ribosomal RNA is filed under the name uncultured bacterium. RNAcentral's name for it is "bacterial SSU rRNA". It matches the Rfam family "Bacterial small subunit ribosomal RNA", at positions 8 to 796 of the family's 1533-position model. The record is from RNAcentral.